UUCCAGACUCCUACGGGAGGCAGCAGUGGGGAAUAUUGCACAAUGGGGGAAACCCUGAUGCAGCGACGCCGCGUGAGCGAUGAAGUAUUUCGGUAUGUAAAGCUCUAUCAGCAGGGAAGAAAAUGACGGUACCUGACUAAGAAGCCCCGGCUAACUACGUGCCAGCAGCCGCGGUAAUACGUAGGGGGCAAGCGUUAUCCGGAUUUACUGGGUGUAAAGGGAGCGUAGACGGCAGCGCAAGUCUGGAGUGAAAUGCCGGGGCCCAACCCCGGAACUGCUCUGGAAACUGUGAAGCUGGAGUGCAGGAGAGGUAAGCGGAAUUCCUGGUGUAGCGGUGAAAUGCGUAGAUAUCAGGAGGAACACCAGUGGCGAAGGCGGCUUGCUGGACGAUGACUGACGUUGAGGCUCGAAAGCGUGGGGAGCAAACAGGAUUAGAUACCCCCGUACC
RNAcentral lists this ribosomal RNA (448 nucleotides) under uncultured bacterium. RNAcentral's name for it is "bacterial SSU rRNA". It matches the Rfam family "Bacterial small subunit ribosomal RNA", at positions 329 to 794 of the family's 1533-position model. The record is from RNAcentral.